Molecule: long non-coding RNA, 1309 nt
Organism: Sarcophilus harrisii (Tasmanian devil)
Lineage: Eukaryota; Metazoa; Chordata; Mammalia; Dasyuromorphia; Dasyuridae
Exons: 5
Source: RefSeq, a predicted model, not a curated record
UGCCAUUUCACAAUCAUAAUUUUGACUUUACAUAUGUUAUUUGAACUUUUGCUUUUAGAUAGAACACAGAAUAUAGCCACACACUAAGAGAUCUCCCUUAGAUGUCAAGAUCAAUACUAGAUCAAACCUUUGAACCAGUUUUGGAGUGACAGAACCCACAAAUAUUUGGAGUGUUUCCAGCAGAAAAUAUUUUGGAAGAACAUAAAAGGUCAGAUUCUCCUGAGUUACAUGAUGUCUUUCAGGUGAGGAAGAGACAAAACCAAUGGAUGUCCAAUUGAGAAAUAUGAUGAGGAACAUCACUGGCUUGUGGAUAAUAUCAUAUAUAUAUUGUUUAUCCAUGUUUUUCAUAAAAAGAAAAACUCUUCAGGAAAAAACUUUUUUGUGGCAUGGGAAUGGGAUCCUGUCAGUGACUUAUUCAAUGGAAGUGGGUGCUUGUAUUUGUUAUUUGUGGACAAAGAACAGUUGUCCAGGAUUUAUUCUCAAGGAGGAUUGGGUGAACUGGUGUUUUUGGACUCUCAUUUUGAUCUUAUUCACAUUCAUAGUAAUAAUUCUUUUGAAAUUUUCGUAUGUAUAUUUCUCCUUUUUUUUAUAUUGAUGUUUUCAUUUAAUUUUGUUGAUAUUGCCAACAUCAUCUUUUUGAUGCCUAUAUUUAGAUUAUAUUUUUGGAGGAUUCUUCACGAUAUUCUUUGAAAAAUGUGCUCUACUUCUGAGAAAUAAGGGUCUCUGUCCCAACCUUCCUGUGCAGCUCUGAACCUUGGCUUUGAGCACAGAGGCUCCUUGUGUUUGGAGGGGGGAACUUUGACUGCUCUGUUCAGGAAACAGCCUGGAAACACUGAUUUGCUCUUAUACUGAGCUAGGACUGAGGGUCUUCAUUGUGAGUUGCUUUAAGACCCCCUUACCAAACCUUCCCACAGUCUUUCUGAACUGGCCUGAAUAUACUUUUCACCCCAAUGAGACUGACUUUUCUUGAACUUUUUUGAAUUCGUGUUGAGUUGGAAAGUAGGUUCAUUCCAUUAGACUCUAUGCAGAGGCUUGGUUUCAUGUGAUUUUCCAGGAAAACUGGGAGAACUGGAGCAGCUCCCUGACUGUACUAUCUUGCCUCCACCCCACUCUUCUUAUUUAAAGGUUUGAGUUCCAAAUUCUGUCUCUCUCUUCCUUCUCUCCCCUCCCCAAGAUUAUAAGCAGUCAGAUAUAGUUUAUACAUGUGCAACUAUGUAAGACACUUCCCUAGUAGUCAUUUUGUACAAGACUCAAAUGAAAGAAAAAACUCAAUAAAGAGAUAAAUAUCAUGCUUCACUCUGAAUUCAAC